Molecule: ribosomal RNA, 253 nt
Filed under: uncultured bacterium
Lineage: Bacteria
Description: partial 16S ribosomal RNA
Rfam family: Bacterial small subunit ribosomal RNA
Source: RNAcentral
UACGGAGGGUGCAAGCGUUAUCCGGAUUCACUGGGUUUAAAGGGAGCGUAGGUGGGUUGGUAAGUCAGUGGUGAAAUCCCCGAGCUUAACUUGGGAACUGCCAUUGAUACUAUUAGUCUUGAAUAUCGUGGAGGUAAGCGGAAUAUGUCAUGUAGCGGUGAAAUGCUUAGAUAUGACAUAGAACACCAAUUGCGAAGGCAGCUUGCUACACGGUCAUUGACACUGAGGCACGAAAGCGUGGGGAGCAAACAGG